Molecule: long non-coding RNA, 3983 nt
Organism: Ostrea edulis (European flat oyster)
Lineage: Eukaryota; Metazoa; Mollusca; Bivalvia; Ostreida; Ostreidae
Exons: 2
Source: RefSeq, a predicted model, not a curated record
ACACGGAAAUGGUGGUGUUCAGUUGGAUUUUUAUAAAAAUCAGCAUAAAAUCAUUAAAUAGGUCAUCUACCAUCAAAAUCCUGAAGUGUUUACUUAACAGGAUUUAUGAGAUGUGUGUAACAGGUGUGUAAAGAUUUAGCACUCGUCCAUCUUUUUUCCUUGCGAGCAUGGCUUACACACUUUCGAAGUGCGCAUGCUCUGUUUUAAAUGACGUCAUUUGUGAUAUCAUCAUAAUGGAGUUUUCCAGGGAAAGAAGUUGGCCCAUCUGAGGUAAGUAAACACGGUUGAAAGAAAUUUUUUGCAUGUUAUCAAUGGGUUUUUUAUUACAUAGACUGAUUAAAUGGUGUUUCAUACCGAUCGUGUUAUGUACAAGCGACAGAGUACCCGAGUUACUGAAAAUUUCGAUAAUAAAAGUGAUAAAUCUGCGUGAACUGUUUGGUUUUUUUUUUCUUUUUGAAAUAUAAUCUUUGCAGUUAAUGUACUCUGUAUACUAAGAAUUCAUAUUGAUUUUGGAUAGAAUUUCACAAAAAGAAAUGCGCCAGGUCCUUAGGAAUCAACCCCCCUACCCCACCCCCCACACGGCACAUUUUUUGGAUGAUUGGAACGUAUACUCCUUUACAUCUGUCUCCCUACUUUGAAGUUUUUUCCAACGCCAUGACAUAAAUAAUAAAUAGAAAAAUAAAUAAAAAUGCAAAAAGAAAAAAGAAAUAUGUAUAUGUAUUCGGAUUGGCAUGUUCCACUUUGUCCGGGUUGAAAUCCCUGAGGAUGCAAAUGUACAUUACGCCGCACUGCUUGCAGUACGUACAUGGUACAGGCGUACCGCAUAGGUAUGUAACUACUAAGACUAUAAACCAAACAGAAUAUGAUAUGUAAAACUAUUACUCUGAAUGCAUUUUACUUGUUUACAAUGUAGCCUGUCGGGCUGUGGUGUCACACGCGUGGUUUACACGUGCACUUCAGGUGGCAGUGGAGGAAAUUCGAACGAUGUAUGGAUUAUUGUCUCCUGGUAACUUUGGCAGUUACCUUUUGCUUUCAAUCUACUUUUUAAGAAUAAUUAAACCCUCGCUAAUCAUUUCCAAGCUGCAUUUCGAUCUUGGAAGAAUGAUCUUCAGCUACAAUACAAAAUUAAGGGAUGAUGUUGUGUACUGAGUUUUUCUUGAUUGUUUACAUCUGUGAUUGUUUAUGUGAUGUAUAAACUGAUCAAGCUGUACAGUGUCAUGACAUAUAGUGGCAUAGCUUCCAUUUAUAUGCUUGCGCAUCAUUUUGUCAGAAGAAGAAAUUUCUAAAAUUAAGAUUUUUAACAUGUAUAUGAUUAUAUGUGUUUGUUUGAUUUUAGUAUAAUACCUGUAGAGAAUAUUUCAGUAAUAUGAAGUGCGACACAUUUAGACGCAUGCAUGUGGUGUUUGAAGGUCUCAUCCGAAAGACCAGCAACUUUCUCUUUUGAAUGCUAAAUAUGACGAUGGAGCAUUCACCUCCCUACCUACAUUUACACCCUAAAUAAAGUACAUUAGCAUGGCUCGAAACCAUGAUUUCUUCAUCAUGAAGUAAAUGCUCUGUUACCACUGAGCUACCAAUUUUUUUACAUGAAUUCAUAGCUAAAAAUUUUAAAAAUUUAUAACUAAUUUUUUGGUUAAUUCCAUAAAUAUUAUUCCUCUCUCUAGACACAAUUCAGGGUAACCCCCUGCCUUUGGGGAUAUAAGCACAUCAUUUCUUUCAGAAUGGCACAAUGUCAGGAGAGUUUUUGUUAUUUGUUAUACUCUUAGUGUUGAUGGCAUCUAUGAACAACAGGAUAAUGUUUUUAGAUUAUUAUUUCUGAUAUCAUAUUUGUAAAUUGUUUAUGAGGGGUUGUUAAAGUUUGUGGACAAAAGGACACACUUAUUAAAAAUUCAAAGUUAUGAUAAGUAAAUAAUAUAAGAGAUUUGUAACAAGAUUGUAGAUUUGAACAUUUUAAUUUUAAUUAAUUUUUAUAAGUAUUGAUUUCAGAUACAUGUAUGACAUUGCAUGCUUGAUCGGGGAGGGGGGCUACAGUUAGAUAAUAUUCUGGUCAGCACAUUUGAUAAACUACAAUUGUACAUGGAACUCAUUAAAUCACUUCUUUUUCUUUCAGUGGUCUUCAACUUUUAAUCUCCAAGAAGGAAAUGUAAUUAAAAGAUGAAUAAAGUAUCCCUAAGAAUACCAGAAGAAAGGCUGUGUUGAGAAAAACAGCCCUUCCUCAGUACCUCAGAACUAGAUGAUAGCCCGUGUUACUUUAUGCUGAAUAUGACACAGUAUAGAAGAUCUGAUCAUGAAGAAGUUACACCAUUGAUACACUUGCCAACUGCCAAAACUACUUUCUGAUAGUAUGACGAAAUUAGAAGAUAUCAUGGUGUAGUCAUGACACAAACUGCAAAUCAAAGAUUGUCUUCCCCAGAGGAUGAACAGAGUGCUUCACAUGGAUAACAUUUCCUUUUCGAGUUUUGAAAUUAAUUUGUCAGAAUGUUAUGCAUCAUGAUCAACAGAAAAGAACUUCACAGGUAGACCAAAGCUGACAUGGGAUGAGAUCCUAAAACGAGACCUAGAGUUUAGAAGAUUGGAUAGGAUCAAUCCACUGGGUCGCCAAGUGUGGAAGUACAAACUUCAACCUCGACAGGACAGCCAGGCCUCACCCUUGCAAAAAGAUUAAUUUGGCCUGGAUAGUCAAAAUGAGUGAUGAUGAUGAUAUCAAGGUCUGACACUGUAAGCUCAGUAAGGGUAGAUGCUGGCAAUGGAGCUGUUAAGCAAUACAACAAACAGGUUUAACAUUGAACAUGUUUAUAUACUUUUUUAGCUCACCUGAGCCAAAGGCUCAAAUGAGCUUUUCUGAUCACCUUUGCCUGUCGUCUGUCUCUCUGUAAACUUUUCACAUUUUCAUUUUCUUCUCCAGAGUGAACCACUGGGCCAGUUUCAAUCAAACUUGGUAUGCAUCAUCAAUAGAUAAAGGGUAUGCAAAAAUAGGGUGGGGUCAUUUAAAAAACCUUUUCAAGAACCACUGGACCAGGAAAGUUGAAUUCACAUAAAAGGUUCCUGUUUUUGUGCAAAUCAUGGUAUCCGGGGGUAGGGUGAGGUCACAAUCGAGUCGAGGAUCAAAGUUUUACAUUCAUAUAUAGUACAGAUUCAAGUUUGUUAAAGGUCAUGGCUCACAGGGGUAGAGUGGGGUCACAAUAGAGGAUCUAAGUUUUAUAUGUGAAAUAUAUACAAGGAAAAUCUUUUAAAAUCUUCUCCUAAAAAACUAGAUGCAGAACUAAACCCAAAAUCGUAGCUCUUUGAGAAGAUAUUGGGGCAAGUCAGAGCACUAGAGCUUCAGAUGAGCCCCUUAUUAAAAAUCUUCAAUUUACGGCACAGAAAAAAAGUGCAUGGUUAAGUCCCUCUAUCACUGCAUUCCUGCAUCGCUGUCUCAUGAAUUUAAUAUUAAAUAAUUCCUAACAUAUUUUCCCACUAUACUUGUUUCCAAGCAUACUUUCAAAUAUUCCUUAAACCCACAUAUAACCUAAAAACUCACAGCUUCAAGUGAUUUUCUUUGUUGAUGUAGCCAUGUUAGGUAUACGUAGCUAGUCAAUUUGAACCCCAGUUCAUUUCCAUACUCGUACUCAUUUUGAAACAUAAUGUCUGUGUGAACUAAUAUCCCCACAAAUAUUUUUUAGUGAAAUAUUUUGGAUGAAAUCAUCCCAGUUGGGUUAAAUACUUAUUAUUCAAAAACUGUAGGUUUGAAUAUUGAACUAAUCUCACAGCUUUCUUAAGUUUGGUCCCCAUCCACUCUAGUCUAUUUUUACGCUUAACUAUUGAAAUGGAGUGUAAGGGAUCAGACUAAGCUUUUAUAGCAUUAUCAAUUUUCAAAAGCUUUAGAAAAAUUAUACAAUUUUAGGUCACUUGAGUAAACUCAGAUGACAUAUUGCUAUUGGUCUGCGUCCGUUGUAGUCCGUCGAUGUUAACAAUUGAAUAUUUUUAACUAAAUUCUAUAACUGAAA